GCCCCUAUAGCUCAGUUGGUUAGAGCUACGGACUUUUAAUCCGCAGGUCGCCGGUUCGAGCCCGGCUGGGGGCACCA
RNAcentral lists this transfer RNA (77 nucleotides) under Dietzia sp. ANT_WB102. RNAcentral describes it as "tRNA-Lys". It matches the Rfam family "tRNA". From Rfam's summary of the family: Transfer RNA (tRNA) molecules are approximately 80 nucleotides in length. The record is from RNAcentral. Lineage: Bacteria; Bacillati; Actinomycetota; Actinomycetes; Mycobacteriales; Dietziaceae.